This 214-nucleotide ribosomal RNA is filed under the name uncultured Enterococcaceae bacterium. Its description in RNAcentral is "partial 16S ribosomal RNA". It matches the Rfam family "Bacterial small subunit ribosomal RNA", at positions 127 to 334 of the family's 1533-position model. The record is from RNAcentral. Lineage: Bacteria; Bacillati; Bacillota; Bacilli; Lactobacillales; Enterococcaceae.
UGCCUGAUGGAGGGGGAUAACACUUGGAAACAGGUGCUAAUACCGCAUAACAGUUUAUGCCGCAUGGCAUAAGAGUGAAAGGCGCUUUCGGGUGUCGCUGAUGGAUGGACCCGCGGUGCAUUAGCUAGUUGGUGAGGUAACGGCUCACCAAGGCCACGAUGCAUAGCCGACCUGAGAGGGUGAUCGGCCACACUGGGACUGAGACACGGCCCAG